Molecule: ribosomal RNA, 305 nt
Filed under: uncultured bacterium
Lineage: Bacteria
Description: bacterial SSU rRNA
Rfam family: Bacterial small subunit ribosomal RNA
Source: RNAcentral
GAUGAACGCUAGCGGCAGGCUUAACACAUGCAAGUCGAGGGGUAGUUCCGAUUUAUCGGGAUGAGACCGGCGGAUGGGUGAGUAACACGUAUGCAAUCUGCCUUGUACAGGGGAAUAGCCCAGGGAAACUUGGAUUAAUGCCCCAUAGUGUCUUGUUUCGGCAUUGAGACUUGACUAAAGAUUUAUCGGUACAAGAUGAGCAUGCGCCCCAUUAGCUAGUUGGUAUGGUAACGGCAUACCAAGGCUAUGAUGGGUAGGGGCCCUGAGAGGGGUAUCCCCCACACUGGUACUGAGACACGGACCAG